Molecule: ribosomal RNA, 254 nt
Filed under: uncultured bacterium
Lineage: Bacteria
Description: partial 16S ribosomal RNA
Rfam family: Bacterial small subunit ribosomal RNA
Source: RNAcentral
GACGUAGGGGGCCAGCGUUGUUCGGAAUUACUGGGUGUAAAGGGUUCGUAGGCGGCCAACUAAGUCGGACGUGAAAUCCCUCGGCUUAACCGGGGAACUGCGUCCGAUACUGGAUGGCUUGAGGUUGGGAGAGGGAUGCGGAAUUCCAGGUGUAGCGGUGAAAUGCGUAGAUAUCUGGAGGAACACCGGUGGCGAAGGCGGCAUCCUGGACCAAUUCUGACGCUGAGUGAGCGAAAGCCAGGGGAGCAAACGGG